Molecule: long non-coding RNA, 3242 nt
Filed under: Homo sapiens (human)
Lineage: Eukaryota; Metazoa; Chordata; Mammalia; Primates; Hominidae
Description: HSALNT0007901
Source: RNAcentral
CCCAGCACUGGGCUGGGUCCUCUGAAAGAAAUCCCGUAAAACCUCAAGGAGCUCACAGGCUGGAAUAUUCUUUCACAGGCAAGCAAGGACCCAGGGCUGUGCUCAAGCUGGGCUACAAGGGCUGGACCAGGGUCUGGGGUUGGGCAUAGGUUGGGCUGACUUGCAGUUGCUGGCCUUGGAGAAAGGAGAAGCAAAGCCACUGUGAUUGGAGGAAGGAGAUUCAGGAAGCAAGGACAGCUCUUAGUGUCAGUUCCAAUGGUUGGGUAUGAGAAAGAGGGAGUAAAAACUGGGGCUUCAAGAAGGCAGGGACUAUAGUUGUAUUUCCUCCCAGUGUAUUCACAGUGCAUCUGGUUCACCAAAGACUCUCAAGGUGACUUCAUCCAUGGCGGCUGUGUGGCAGCGAGCUACUUGCGCAUCUCUUCUGUUCCGUGAGGUCAUGUUGGCAGCUUGAAAUUGAUCAAGUGGGAAGCAUUUACAUCACAGAAAUUGAUACCAUGAAAGGAUUUGAGCGUUUUUUUAUGUGAAUCCAAAGAUGACAUUUACAAAAGGUGGAGAAGCAGUUCCCUACUGAGGGACGUGGAUACAAAAAGCAGAUGACACAACACAUCCCAUAGAGUUCCCAGGGAAGAAUGAACCCAGAUUCUUGACCUGCAGAGGUGGCGUACUGGCUGGAGAAAUCUCUGGCUGGCGACCGUGCUAUUCUGUCUGUCCACCUAACUGUGGGCUCCCAGAUCACCACUGCCAUGGGCAGGGGGCCGUGGGGUGGGCCUGCUUGGGGUGACAGGCUAGCUGUGCUCCCAUAGCAGAGGUGGGAGAAGGGAAUCACAUCUGGUGAGCAGCUAUGUCGUGCCAGGCACUGUGCUGUGUAUUGCACACAUCUCAAACCUUGUGACAAAUGUGUAAGAUAUUUUUUAUGUAUUACAAAUGAAGGAACUGGGCUCAGAAAAGCUCCAUUAUUUGCCCAAAUUGCAGCAGUAAUGCAGGAAUUUGAAUCCACAUUAAUCUGACUCCACAACCCAUGUUCUUUCACUGAAUUCCCAUAUCCUUGUUCCCCCUACUGUCCUCACUGGUCAAGGUGAGCUUGGUCUUCCACAAACAGGCUAGAAAAGUAUGCUUACUUAUCUUUAGCUUUAUGCUUUUAAACUAAUUCUUAAAAAUCUUCUCUGGAUAAGUCAAAGACAAUGGGAAUGUGUAUUUCUAAUACAUUAAUUAUAAUACAUUACCGGUUUACACAAUGCCAUCACCUUGUCAUUUUCUUUGACACAACGUCCCCCUCCCCUCUAGUUUAUAAAUGAGGACAUUGAGGCACAAAGUGGGUAAGUGACUUGCCCAAGGGGGAGAUUUGUCCAAUCAUAAAGAUGGGCCUGAACUUUUUCUACUUUGCAUUCUUACUUGAAAGGCAGGAAACAUAUGCUCAAGAGGGAGAUCUCACGAAAUUUCAUGUCAUAUAGUGCUCUCGCUAAUUUAAUCCUGUCAUUCCUGGUUAUAUCCCUUUGGAAAAACCACCACCAGUGCCUUCUCUUUUGAUAUAUUUACAGUAAAAAUAUUCCCUGUACAAACCAUCUCACUCUUUCACAGGGAACUGGCUUGGCCCUCUCCCCUGAAGUGGGUUGCACAUCCACCCAGCCCACCCCCAGCUCACUCUAGCUCCCUUCCUGUUAGAAUUUAUUCAGAACCUCCAUUUCUAGGAGGAAGCAAGGAGGGGGCAGUUAUCUUCGUGGACUUGGGUCCUCCUGGACCCUUUGUCCUCAUGGUUAUGUUUCAAACAGAGUUGAGGGCUCCCUAAAGGGGAAAGAUUAUUUAAGUUUUGUAAAUGCUGCCCUCCAAAAACCACUCCACAUAAAUGUUUCAUGGCUUAGCCUCUGUGAGGCCAGAGCUGGAACAUUCAGCUGUGAGGGUGUUUAUAUUUGUGGAACUCUCUUGAACAUUUGCUGUGGGUUUUAAACAGCUGCUAUGCUGAAGCUCUGGGGAUAGGAAGAUCAUGAAUAUUCAGGUGAAGCCACCAGAAUGAACAGCCGUUAAUAGAAUAAAUGCCUAAACAGUUGUGUAAGGCUUAUUAAGACCUAUUGGGGCUGAGAUAAUAAAUUCCCACUCUGACAUGUUGCAACUACUGUCGCUUAAACACUUUGGACCACCUCUUCUGAACUGAAGGAAAAAAUGAUGUUAGUUCUCUGCGCGAAUACAAAGAAACACCUGGAAGCCUUGGCAAGGGGAUGAGAUUUGGCAGAGAUCUUUCCGUGUACCGAUGCAUCCUCAGGAAAAUGAUGUGCCGCUCAUUGUUCCUGUUGUCAAGGUUAUCGCAGUCGACUUCAGGCUGGAACGGGCAUUGCUCUUGCACUGAAGAAAGUCUGUCCUGACUCCCUCAGAGUGCCUCAACAUCAACCAAGAGCCACCGUGAACCUCUGGGGCACUGAGCCUGGCCACCAGCACCCCCACCCCAGCCCAUAUGGCCUGGGCCUCUCCCUUGGUAAGCCUCUUCCAACAGGGUAUCAGAGGAACCAAAUACACACUUACACUGGACGCUUGCUUUUCAUUCGCUUGCUCCAUAAUCCAUAGCAGGGAACACAAUGCAAAGAUUGCAAAUGUAAAAAUGACCUUUCCAAGUGGUAACACCUGGUGUGUUAAAAAGUCCAUUGCAGACUGGGUUUGCAGUGUGCACACUGUAAAUAUGGGGAAUGUGGGAAACAGUAGAGAGGGACUGUUUUCUCCUUUGGGUGUUAGCUGUCACCUUGUGUUAGACUGAGCCAGACUCCUCGGUUCUGGCUCCCACAGUCACAAGGCAUUAACCAAGGGUAUACAGAGGAACUCACCCAGGUUCACACCUAGAGAAGACUCAGUAAUAUUUGAUCAGCAACCUGCUGUCAAUUUAGAUAAAUGGCAUUUGACUUCAAAUAAAGGUGACUAACUCAAUGAAGGAAGCCUGUGCAUAGAAGGCAAUGUUUGCUUCUCCCAAGCUGUCAGGGAGAGCUUGCCCACCCUAGCAGUGGUCACUGAUUUUCUCCACCUCUGAAGACAUGGUGGGGUCCUGCCAAAGACUCUGAGCUGUCAGAAUUCUGGAAGAGACAAACUCACAACAAAGAAAUGCACAUGUCUCAAUGUGGCUUGGGAGGAGUAGCAGAUUUUAGAGUGAUGCUGACCUGAAUUUGAAUUGUGCUCUGCCACUCAAGGUCUGAGUGUCUGAAAGCAAGUUAUUCCACUUCUGUGAGGUAUAGCUGUCUUGCCUGUAACACAGGCAUUAUUCU